This 71-nucleotide transfer RNA is filed under the name Endomicrobium sp. Its description in RNAcentral is "tRNA-Gly". It matches the Rfam family "tRNA". From Rfam's summary of the family: Transfer RNA (tRNA) molecules are approximately 80 nucleotides in length. Their secondary structure includes four short double-helical elements and three loops (D, anti-codon, and T loops). Further hydrogen bonds mediate the characteristic L-shaped molecular structure. tRNAs have two regions of fundamental functional importance: the anti-codon, which is responsible for specific mRNA codon recognition, and the 3' end, to which the tRNAs corresponding amino acid is attached (by aminoacyl-tRNA synthetases). tRNAs cope with the degeneracy of the genetic code in two manners: having more than one tRNA (with a specific anti-codon) for a particular amino acid; and 'wobble' base-pairing, i.e. permitting non-standard base-pairing at the 3rd anti-codon position. Lineage: Bacteria; Pseudomonadati; Elusimicrobiota; Endomicrobiia; Endomicrobiales; Endomicrobiaceae. The record is from RNAcentral.
GCGGACGUAGUCUAGUGGUAAAACAUCGGCUUCCCAAGCCGGAGAUGUGGGUUCGAUUCCCAUCGUCCGCU